RNAcentral lists this ribosomal RNA (373 nucleotides) under uncultured eukaryote. RNAcentral's name for it is "partial 18S ribosomal RNA". It matches the Rfam family "Eukaryotic small subunit ribosomal RNA", at positions 592 to 976 of the family's 1831-position model. The record is from RNAcentral.
CAAUAGCGUAUAUUAAAGUUGUUGCAGUUAAAAAGCUCGUAGUUGAAUUUUUGCUUGCCGCCGAUGUCGGAACUUCCGUACGUUCGGCGGCGUGCAUCCUUGGGUGGAACCUGUGUGGCAUUAGGUUGUCGUGCAGGGGAUGCUCAUCGUUUACUGUGAAAAAAUUAGAGUGUUCAAAGUAGGCUUACGCCGUUGAAUAUAUUAGCAUGGAAUAAUAAGAUAGGACCUUGGUACUAUUUUGUUGGUUUGCGCACCGAGGUAAUGAUUAACAGGGACAGUUGGGGGUAUUCGUAUUCCAUUGUCAGAGGUGAAAUUCUUGGAUUUCUGGAAGACGAACUACUGCGAAAGCAUUUACCAAGGAUGUUUUCAUUAA